This 69-nucleotide transfer RNA is filed under the name Rattus norvegicus (Norway rat). It matches the Rfam family "tRNA". Rfam says of the family: Transfer RNA (tRNA) molecules are approximately 80 nucleotides in length. Their secondary structure includes four short double-helical elements and three loops (D, anti-codon, and T loops). Lineage: Eukaryota; Metazoa; Chordata; Mammalia; Rodentia; Muridae. The record is from Rfam by way of RNAcentral.
GGGGAUUUAGCUCAGUGGUAGAGCGCUUGCCUAGGAAGCGUAAGGGCCUGGGUUCGGUCCCCAGCUCCG